GGUUCUAUAGUGUAGCGGUUAGCAAGUCUGCUUUACACGCAGAAGGUCCUGGGUUCGUACUCCAGUGGAGCCA
This 73-nucleotide transfer RNA is filed under the name Pteropus alecto (black flying fox). It matches the Rfam family "tRNA". Rfam says of the family: Transfer RNA (tRNA) molecules are approximately 80 nucleotides in length. Their secondary structure includes four short double-helical elements and three loops (D, anti-codon, and T loops). Further hydrogen bonds mediate the characteristic L-shaped molecular structure. tRNAs have two regions of fundamental functional importance: the anti-codon, which is responsible for specific mRNA codon recognition, and the 3' end, to which the tRNAs corresponding amino acid is attached (by aminoacyl-tRNA synthetases). tRNAs cope with the degeneracy of the genetic code in two manners: having more than one tRNA (with a specific anti-codon) for a particular amino acid; and 'wobble' base-pairing, i.e. permitting non-standard base-pairing at the 3rd anti-codon position. The record is from Rfam by way of RNAcentral. RNAcentral also lists the same sequence under 1 other name. Lineage: Eukaryota; Metazoa; Chordata; Mammalia; Chiroptera; Pteropodidae.